GUCCACGCCCUAAACGAUGUCGACUAGUUGUUGGGGGAUGAAUUCCCUUAGUAACGUAGCUAACGCGCGAAGUCGACCGCCUGGGGAGUACGGUCGCAAGAUUAAAACUCAAAGGAAUUGACGGGGGCCCGCACAAGCGGUGGAUGAUGUGGAUUAAUUCGAUGCAACGCGAAAAACCUUACCUACCCUUGACAUGCCCGGAACCCUGCUGAAAGGUGGGGGUGCCCGAAAGGGAGCCGGGACACAGGUGCUGCAUGGCUGUCGU
RNAcentral lists this ribosomal RNA (265 nucleotides) under uncultured bacterium. Its description in RNAcentral is "partial 16S ribosomal RNA". It matches the Rfam family "Bacterial small subunit ribosomal RNA", at positions 793 to 1055 of the family's 1533-position model. The record is from RNAcentral.